This 377-nucleotide ribosomal RNA is filed under the name uncultured bacterium. Its description in RNAcentral is "bacterial SSU rRNA". It matches the Rfam family "Bacterial small subunit ribosomal RNA", at positions 523 to 898 of the family's 1533-position model. The record is from RNAcentral.
AUACGUAAGGAGCGAGCGUCGUCCGGAUUUACUGGGUGUAAAGGGUGCGUAGGCGGCUCUGCAAGUCAGGUGUGAAACCCAUCGGCUUAACUGAUGGACUGCAUUUGAAACUGUGGGGCUUGAGUGGAGUAGAGGCAGACGGAAUUCCUGGUGUAGCGGUGAUAUGCGUAGAUAUCGGGAGGAACACCAGUGGCGAAGGCGGCUGUCUGGACGGUACCUGACGCUCAGGCGCGAAAGCCCGGGGAGCAAACGGGAUUAGAUACCCCGGUAGUCCGGGCCGUAAACGAUGAGUGCUAGGUGUGGCGGGUAUCGACCCCCGCCGUGCCGGAGUUAACGCAAUAAGCACUCCGCCUGGGGAGUACGGCCGCAAGGCUGAA